Carya illinoinensis is the source of this 4300-nucleotide RNA transcript. It is a transcript of the gene named myrcene synthase, chloroplastic-like, with no coding region annotated. The record is from RefSeq and is a predicted model, not a curated record. The transcript has 3 exons. NCBI's taxonomy places the organism in Eukaryota, Viridiplantae, Streptophyta, Magnoliopsida, Fagales, Juglandaceae.
CAUGAGAUUCAUUGAAACAGCUAACUUGUACAGAGCGUGGCCUUAAUAUCGUCACUAAGAUAGCCACCCACGGAUCGCUAUAAAAGGUCAUAUGCUUGAAGGCUUAAGCAUAUGUUCCACGACAAUCCAUUUAAUCACGAAAGCAAAGCUUCCCUAAUGGCUUACACAAUGUGUCUUACCAUUCUUGAUUCAAUCCAAAAUUGCAGACCCGCGACAUUGUUCCCAUCCAAACAAACAAGAGGGAAAGGUGGCGAUGCACCUCAUCCUUUCCAUAGCAUGGCUCUCGUUGCAAACUCAAAUGUUGACUCAACCAAUAUUGUUCGACGAUCUGCAAAUUACCAUCCUACCAUUUGGCAUUAUGAUUACAUCCAAUCAUUAAGAAGCAAAUAUGUGGAGGCGUCAUUCACACAAAAGAUAGGUAAGCUUAAGGGAGAAGUAGCAAUGAUGUUUCAUAAAGUGAUGGAGCCCCUCAAGCUUAUUGAUAUCUUGCAAAGACUUGGAGUAUCUUAUCACUUUGAGGAUGAAAUAAGGAGGAUAUUGGAAAACAAUUACAAUAUUCAUCAUAGUGGUGAUGUUUGCAAGAAGCAAAGUUUAUAUGCCACAGCUGUUGAGUUUAGACUGUUGAGGCAACAUGGAUAUGAUGCACCUCAAGGUAAAAAGCAUACUAGUAAUGCUUUAAAAUAUAUAUAUAUAUAUAUAUAUAUUGGAUUCAUUAUCCCUCAUUUAUUUUUAACAAUUGUUGAGUUUUGUUGAUAGCAGAGACUUUCAAAAGUUUUAUCAACGAAAAUGUGGAUUUCAAAGAAUGUCUUUGUGUUGAUAUCGAGAGAAUUCUAGCUUUGUACGUAUGAAUGGAAAAUUCUUUUUAUCAUCCUCACACUUCACACACUACACUUAUUUUAAUUUUUUUUUCAUUUUUUCUAUAAUAAAUAUGUAGUGUGUAGAUGAUAAAUAAAAUAAUUUAAUUAGUUUAAUAAGAAUAAAAUGAAAUAAAAAAUAAAAAAAAUAGAAAAUAUUAUUUUAAUAUAUAAAGUGUGUGGUGUGGGAUGAUGUGUAGCAUUUCUUUGUAUGAAUUCCCAUUAAAAACUCACUAAUAGUCAUUUUUUUAACCAUUAAAAAGAUAAAAAUAUAUAAGUGAGUAUAUUUGAUAAUCAUACUAUUAUUUUCUUUCUAUUAAUCUAGUUAGAGAAAUAAUCACGUGGGGGCUGGUGAUGAUGCAUCUCGCCUCACCACAUGAUCAGCAGGAAAAAAACAAAUGAACAUGAUGGAAACACAAACAAAGAAUUUAUGCAACAACUCCCGGCACAAACCAAGUUAUUAACUACCACAUGAUUCAAAACAUGACGGUCUCUUAACAUUUUUUUUUUUUCCUUUCGAAAGUGUGGUUUUCAUCUUAAUUUCUUCAUCUGACAGUUAAAAGUAUUGAAACAUUUUGACUUCAAUUAAAAAUGAUAAUAAUAUUUUUAUUAUAUACUAUCUAAUUAUAGAGAUAUAUAGUACUGGUCGGAUCCCAUCAAUAAUUAUUCUGUCGUAGUAGUGAAGGAAUGAUAAUUUUAUUUAUAUAUUUUACCAAUAACCCUUAUAUUAUGAAGAAAUUCUCUCAAUUCAUUUAAAAUUUAAGUUCUCACAUUUUUUUGUUCUCAAUUUAUUUAAUUUGAAUUUUUUUUAAAACGUUAAAUUCUAUCAAUUAUUCUCAUUUACAGUUGUUGUCCCUGUAUGAAUAUAAAAAAUUUAUUCUUGUUAGUAGUCUUGACCCAGUAAGAUAGACCAUUUGCCUUGCCCCCUUUCCUUUCAAUUUUAUUCUUGUUAGUAGUCUUGAACCACCAGAGCAUAAUUGUCUUAAUGGUAGGUCAUGCAGACUGUUUUAUUUUUUGUUUAUAUAGGGGAGAGGGGCCGAAUCUGGUUCUCCGAGAAUAGGUCUUGUGCCAUCACUGUUAAAGCAUCAUGACUUUUACGUGCCUCACCACAUGAUCAGCAGGAAAAAAACAAAUGAACAUGAAAACACAAACAAAGAAUUUAUGCAACAACUCCAGGCAGAGACCAAAUUAUCUACUGAAACAUUUUGACUUCAGUUAAAACCAAUAAUAAUAUUUUUAUUAUUUACUAUCUAAUUAUAGAGAUAGAUGACUUGACACAAUUUUGAUAAUCAUUGACCAAAUCUUAUUAAAUGAAAAAAUUAAAUGAUAUUCUCGAACAUUUUUUCCUUUUCUUGAAAUUAGGUUUUCAUCCUCAAUCUCCAAAUUAUCAAAACUAAAAUAUUAUAGUGAAUCUGGUUCCCCAAGAAUAGGUUUUGUGCCAUCACUGUUAAAGCAUCAUGACUUUUGAGGGUAGAGAUGAGAAUUUUGAAUUUGAGAUGAAAGUUUAAAAUAUUAUUUUUUAAUAUUAUUACUGUUUUGAGAUUUGAAAAUGUUGAAUUGAGAUUUGAAAAAGUUGAAUUGUUUAUUAUAUUUUGUGAUUUUGAGUUUGAGAUGAGAAUUCUCAUCUACCAAACCUGCCCUUAAGUGCCGUGAAAUAAUCUGAAAAUUAAUUAAAUAGUGUAAUUUUAAUACAUCAUUAAUUUUAGUAACUAUUUUAAAUUUAAAUAUUAUUAUUGCCAGGCACCCCAUGCAUGUGAUUUAUAAGGAUUGUUAAAACACAACUUAGUUAAUUAAUAAUAUAUAUAAUUAUAAAUAUAUAUAAAAAAGAAAAAAAAAAGAAAAAGAAAAAGAGAGCAAUUGUUUGCUUAGGUUACAUGUAAUCGUUAAUUUGUUGUAAAAAAUAAUAUGUCAACUAAAUAAUAUAUAAUUUUUUUACUAUUUAAAAUUUAUAUAUUUUUAUUUUUAUAUCAAAAUAAUAUAUUAUUUUCUAAAUAGGUUGGAGGAAAUUUCUUCCAACGUAAUUUAGAGAAAUAAGUUAUGCGGCUAGAAAAGAAUUUGGAAGUUUACGUACGACCGGAAGAAAUUUCAACGGCUACUUUUAUUCAAGGUAGAGUCUAUGUGAGGACCGAGGCUUCAGCAAUUUAGGCGGCUAGAAAAAAGUUUGUAAGUUUACGAGCGAAAGAAAUAUCAACGACAAUUUAUACAACGUAGAGUCCAUGUGAGGACGAUGGAUUAAUUAAAAUGAUAAAGUCUCGUUAAUUAUUUGAAGAGAAUAAAAUUAUUUAAAUUAAUUUAAAAUUUUUAAUAUAAAUUUAAAUCUCGUACUAUUUUAAAUAAUUAAAAUAUAUUAAUUUAAAAUAAUUUUUCACAAUUAUGAUAUUUUUGAAGCUCAUCAAAAUAUUAUAAUUGUGUUAUUUUAAAAACAAAUUUAGUCCGUUAUUGGAAAUAUCAUAUAUAAAUAAUUAAUUGCUUUAAAAUCUGCUUGAUUUCAUUUUUAACACGCCAUCGAGACUCAGCACGUAGAUCGAAACUCGUAAUUAAAGAAGAAAGAAUGAGCGGGUUAUCACAGGUACCCCUCUUUUUGACCCCCGAAACAGAGGAAGUAGUCUUCCCCACCAUGGGCCUCAAGCCAGCCACCCCACACCGCCAGUCUCCUCCACGCCAUCGCCACCUGCACAAAGAGCGUCGCCGAGCACUCACUCUAGGCUCGCCGUCUUCCUCAAGGUAAGUCCAGUCCAUAUGGUUAGGGAAGUUGGAGCAUAUACUGAAGUCAACAAAUUGGAUUUGGAGACCCAAAGUGAUAUAUCUUUUAUGUUUAAAUAGUGGAGUAUACAUAUAAGUGUUAAUGGGGAUGGUGAAAAUAGACCCAUCGCAGAAGAUGCAAAUGGAGCAGCGAAGAAGUAGAUGCAGAGUAUUGCAGAAGCAAAGACGCGCGCAUUAAUGCAUGCUAACGUACACGUGACGAUCAUAUAUAGUUACAUGCACGUUUCAGAAAUGAAAUCGGCUUGAUCUGCAUUGUAUGUAGUGAUGUCAAACUUGAUCAUGUCAUCAAACUUAACCUCAAUUUCCACCACCCGUUCCUCCUGCAUGCGGACGUUCCUGGUCCACACUCUAGCUAGCUACUUUCCAGUACACAAUUAAUAAUUUUGUUUAAGGAAUUUUAAAAUUAAUUACGUACAGUAGUACAACACCAAUUUGACAUAACAUAUAAUUAUAUAUAUAGUAGUUUUUGGCAACUCUUCUCACCGAAUUUUCUCUGUAUUCCAAUCCAACGUGCAAUUUAAUUUUCCAGUCUAGAAAAAGACGUACCCCAACUCUUCUCACAUCUCGGCUCAGCACAUCAGCACAUGAUGAUGAAUAUUCAAACAACAUACGAACGAACAAAGAAUUUAUGCAGCAACUCCCAACAAUUAAAAAUAUCGAAAAUGUGGUUUUAUUUUUAAUUU